RNAcentral lists this long non-coding RNA (597 nucleotides) under Polistes fuscatus (common paper wasp). RNAcentral's name for it is "uncharacterized LOC122520517, transcript variant X1". Lineage: Eukaryota; Metazoa; Arthropoda; Insecta; Hymenoptera; Vespidae. The record is from RNAcentral.
GUUAUUAACCGUACGGGUGAUCAACGAAUAGUGUUGUGAAAGAAGGACGAAUAACUGACGUUAUCAUCGUCGUUUCUCUUAUUUUACAUUUUUGUGAUUUUUAUCAUUUGUGAAUAUUAGUAAUAAAAGUCUUUUUUGAAGUUAAUUGAGUGAUCAUCAACUUAGGUUAAACAUGAAUAAACAAGAUAACAUGCUGUGUGAUUUUUUUUAUGCCUUUACCAUACGAUGACAUUUUUCUGAUUUCGAUCUAAGAUGAAAUUGAUGAGUUAUAAAUCGUUCUCUUUAUCCUGGUAUUAUAACAGACAAUAAUUUAGCUAAGUAUGCGGCUCUUCAUUUUUUAUUCCAAUCAAAGACCGUAACACAUCCAAGAAAAAAAGUCCAUUACAGCAUCGGAUCUAUGCAUAUAAAUUUCAUUUUUCAAUGGGUUAACGAUAUAAAGAUUUCUUUUAACUAAUGUUUCCUUCAUAGAGAGUCUAUGUGAAUUAUUAUGCGAAUAAAAUGCAGCCGCAGUUACAAGGAAUAAUCAAUACCAGAAUCUGUUAAAAGGUUUUCAAUUAUUUUACUGGAAGAAAAAGUAUGUAACUUCCAACAACGAUG